GACGACGCCUGGGCAGGCCGCCUCGAGGGCGUCCUUGAUGGCGUCAAUCAGCUCGAAGCCGCGCAGGGUAGGGUCGUUCGGCGGGCUGAGUUUCUCCGGCGUCGGGCUGAACGGGGUCGGGUCCAGGA
Long non-coding RNA from Triticum dicoccoides, 128 nucleotides. RefSeq lists it as uncharacterized. The transcript is spliced from 3 exons. The record is from RefSeq and is a predicted model, not a curated record. Lineage: Eukaryota; Viridiplantae; Streptophyta; Magnoliopsida; Poales; Poaceae.